GAGGGUAUAGUUCAAGUGGUAGAGCACAUGCUUACCAUGCACAAGGUCCUGGGUUCAAUCCCCAGUAUCUCCU
RNAcentral lists this transfer RNA (73 nucleotides) under Camelus bactrianus (Bactrian camel). It matches the Rfam family "tRNA". From Rfam's summary of the family: Transfer RNA (tRNA) molecules are approximately 80 nucleotides in length. Their secondary structure includes four short double-helical elements and three loops (D, anti-codon, and T loops). The record is from Rfam by way of RNAcentral. RNAcentral also lists the same sequence under 2 other names. Lineage: Eukaryota; Metazoa; Chordata; Mammalia; Artiodactyla; Camelidae.